AACGCACCUUGCGCUCCUUGGUAUUCCUUGGAGCAUGCCUGUUUGAGUAUCAUGAAAUCUUCAAAGUAAAUCUUUUGUUAAUUCAAUUGGUUCUACUUUGGUCUUGGAGGUUAUUGCAGCUUCACACCUGCUCCUCUUUGUUCAUUAGCUGGAUCUCAGUGUUAUGCUUGGUUCCACUCAGCGUGAUAAGUAUCUAUCGCUGAGGACACUGUAACAAGUGGCCAAGGGAAAUGCAGAUGAGCCGCUUCUAAUCGUCCAUUUAUUUGGACAACAUUUUUAUGAUCUGAUCUCAAAUCAGGUAGGACUACCCGCUGAACUUAA
RNAcentral lists this unclassified non-coding RNA (321 nucleotides) under uncultured Cantharellales. RNAcentral's name for it is "sequence contains 5.8S rRNA gene, ITS2, 28S rRNA gene". Lineage: Eukaryota; Fungi; Basidiomycota; Agaricomycetes; Cantharellales. The record is from RNAcentral.